GGCCCCGCGGUGUGAAUCAUGUCAGACUGCAAAUCUGAAGUUGGCAGCUGCCCGGGGCUU
Molecule: transfer RNA, 60 nt
Filed under: Pseudoleptodeira latifasciata
Lineage: Eukaryota; Metazoa; Chordata; Lepidosauria; Squamata; Dipsadidae
Description: tRNA-Cys
Source: RNAcentral